Molecule: ribosomal RNA, 253 nt
Filed under: uncultured bacterium
Lineage: Bacteria
Description: partial 16S ribosomal RNA
Rfam family: Bacterial small subunit ribosomal RNA
Source: RNAcentral
UACAGAGGUCCCGAGCGUUGUUCGGAUUCAUUGGGCGUAAAGGGCGCGUAGGCGGGCGGUCAAGUCAGGGGUGUAAUCUUUCGGCCUAACCGGAAAAGGGCCUCUGAUACUGGCCGUCUCGAGGGAGGUAGGGGCAUGCGGAACUUCCGGUGGAGCGGUGAAAUGCGUAGAUAUCGGAAGGAACGCCGGUGGCGAAAGCGGCGUGCUGGACCUCUUCUGACGCUGAGGCGCGAAAGCCAGGGGAGCGAACGGG